Molecule: small RNA, 143 nt
Filed under: Vigna angularis var. angularis
Lineage: Eukaryota; Viridiplantae; Streptophyta; Magnoliopsida; Fabales; Fabaceae
Description: Non-protein coding transcript
Source: RNAcentral
GGAGUUUGAGCUAUAUCGAUGGACCCAUUCCGGUGCCUCUUGAUGAGAUGAAGGAGGCACAAUGAUAAUGUUCUUUUGUUUUGGCAAGUCAAGCCUAUUGUACAUGUUUUUCAGCUUAGCGAGGAAGGUUCAUGUGAGGAUAU